This 484-nucleotide ribosomal RNA is filed under the name uncultured bacterium. RNAcentral's name for it is "partial 16S ribosomal RNA". It matches the Rfam family "Bacterial small subunit ribosomal RNA", at positions 30 to 507 of the family's 1533-position model. The record is from RNAcentral.
AUUGAACGCUGGCGGCAGGCCUAACACAUGCAAGUCGAGCGGAUGAAGGGAGCUUGCUCCUGGAUUCAGCGGCGGACGGGUGAGUAAUGCCUAGGAAUCUGCCUGGUAGUGGUGGAUAACGUCCUGAAACGGGCGCUAAUACCGCAUACGUCCUGCGGGAGAAAGUGGGGGAUCUUCGGACCUCACGCUAUCAGAUGAGCCUAGGUCGGAUUAGCUAGUUGGUGGGGUAAAGGCCUACCAAGGCGACCAUCCGUAACUGGUCUGAGAGGAUGAUCAGUCACCCUGGAACUGAGACACGGUCCUGACUCCUGAGGGAGGCAGCAGUGGGGAAUAUUGGACAAUGGGCGAAAGCCUGAUCCAGCCAUGCCGCGUGUGUGAAGAAGGUCUUCGGAUUGUAAAGCACUUUAAGUUGGGAGGAAGGGCAGUAAGUUAAUACCUUGCUGUUUUGACGUUACCAACAGAAUAAGCACCGGCUAACUUCGUG